GAUGAAGAACGCAGCGAAAUGCGAUAAGUAAUGUGAAUUGCAGAAUUCAGUGAAUAAUCGAAUCUUUGAACGCAUCUUGCGCUCCUUGGUAUUCUGAGGAGCAUGCCUGUUUGAGUGUCAUUAAAUUCUCAACUACACUGACUUUGAAUUGGUGUGGCUUGGAUUUGGGGGGAAAAUUGUUGUGGGCUUUUUGUAUAGUCUGCUCCCCUGAAAUUGAUUAGCGGUACCUUUGUGGAACUGUCUACAGGUGUGAUAAUUAUCUACAUCUUAGACAUCUGCUGGAAUGCUGCUUUCUAAACCUUACUUGUAUUGACAAUCUUGACCUCAAAUCAGGUAGGACUACCCGCUGAACUUAAGCAUAUCAAUAAGCGGAGGA
RNAcentral lists this unclassified non-coding RNA (376 nucleotides) under soil metagenome. RNAcentral describes it as "partial contains 5.8S ribosomal RNA, internal transcribed spacer 2, and large subunit ribosomal RNA". The stretch from base 1 to 120 matches the Rfam family "5.8S ribosomal RNA", at positions 35 to 154 of the family's 154-position model. The record is from RNAcentral.